AUGCUUAACACAUGCAAGUCGAACGGAAACGAUGGAAGCUUGCUUCCAGGCGUCGAGUGGCGGACGGGUGAGUAAUGCUUGGGAAUCUGCCUAAUAGUGGGGGAAAACUCGGGGAAACUCGGGCUAAUACCGCAUAAUCUCUUCGGAGGAAAGGGGGCCUCUACAUGUAAGCUCUCGCUAAUAGAUGAGCCCAAGUCAGAUUAGCUUGUUGGUGAGGUAAAAGCUCACCAAGGCUACGAUCUGUAGCUGGUCUGAGAGGACGAUCAGCCACACUGGGACUGAGACACGGCCCAGACUCCUACGGGAGGCAGCAGUGGGGAAUAUUGCACAGUGGGCGCAAGCCUGAUGCAGCAACGCCGCGUGUGUGAAGAAGGCCUUAGGGUUGUAAAGCACUUUCAAUAGAGAAGAAAAGCUUAGAGUUAAUAACUCUAAGCAUUGACGUAACCUAUAGAAGAAGCACCGGCUAAAUCCGUGCCAGCAGCCGCGGUAAUACGGAUGGUGCGAGCGUUAAUCGGAAUUACUGGGCGUAAAGCGCGCGUAGGCUGUUUUAUAAGUCGGAUGUGAAAUCCCCGGGCUCAACCUGGGAACUGCAUCCGAAACUAUUUAACUAGAGUAUGGGAGAGGUAAGUAGAAUUUCCGGUGUAGCGGUGAAAUGCGUAGAUAUCGGAAGGAACACCAGUGG
Molecule: ribosomal RNA, 682 nt
Filed under: uncultured bacterium
Lineage: Bacteria
Description: bacterial SSU rRNA
Rfam family: Bacterial small subunit ribosomal RNA
Source: RNAcentral